This 7722-nucleotide long non-coding RNA is filed under the name Daucus carota (carrot). Its description in RNAcentral is "long non-coding RNA (DCAR_LNC000290)". Lineage: Eukaryota; Viridiplantae; Streptophyta; Magnoliopsida; Apiales; Apiaceae. The record is from RNAcentral.
UGUGAGGGUACUGGAGAGUAAUUAGCUAAUCUGUGUUAACUAAAUUAAAAACAGUACGCGUGUAAAACAGAUGAGUAUGUGUUUAAAUUAGGUUACCCACGAACGAGAUGGCGCGACUGAAGCGAACUCCAGAGCCAAGAUCACCCUGAUAAUCAGCAGACCUGAUAAACUUGAUUAACGAGAGUAUUCGGAACUGAGUCGAGCGAGUUGAGUGACUCAGUAUGUGAACUCAGUGAACUCAGUAUGUGAUUUGAGCUUUGAAGAGAGAAUGAGUAAGAGGCUGUGUUUGAUUUUUCAAUAGCUUCGCUGUAAAUGAAGGCUGUCACGGGAGGCGAUGGCUGUGAAAACGUGGAGAUUGGAGUUUUGUGUGUGUUAUACGUGGCUGAUGUCUCAAAGGAGAGGAGCACGAGAGAGUUGGCUGGUGUUUCUGACUCUUCAAAAGGAGUGUUUGUGUUACUCAGAAGCUUGUUGACAAACUGCUCGUGAAAAUGACUCAAAGAGCUUUGCUGACAAACUGUUUGUGAAAAUGACUCAAAGAGUUGAUAAAUCAGAAACAAUGAAGCAUGAAGAUUAUUAGCAGAAGCAAUUGAGGUAAGAACCUUGCUCUGAUACCAUGUGAAAAUAUGAGUGCAUAUAUGUAUAUAUAACCAGUGUGUGUCACGAGAGAAGCAGUAGAAACAAUGUAAGAGAGAAACUCUUAUAUUGCUAGCAGGAAGCUUAAGAAAUUACAUGAGAGAAUGAACAUAUUUAUACAGAAAAUAACAUGAAGUAAGUCUAUGCUAAUGAAUGUGGUGAGCUGCUCAACCACAAUAUUGUUCACUGCUCAACUGCAGAGUUUAAGAGCUGGUGUUCUAUUCUAGGAGUUGACAUUUGUGUCAAUGUGAACUAGAGACUUUAACACCAGUGAUCCAUAUGAAUCUUGGCGAGUAAUUUAUAAUGGAACCCGUAAGAUAGAGUACUCGUUUGUGUCAGAACUGUAUGCUUGAACUAAUUUUCGAUGUCAAUGCAUGGGUUGAGGACUGAUCAUUGAAGUUUAGUUUUAAGCAUUGCCGCAACAGCCUUGAAAAAAACCAGGGCUUUAACCUUGGCUGAACGCCUGAACCCCCUAUCCUUCGUGGAGUAGUCGAAGAGAAAAUAAUAUGAACCAUUGUCGAAUCUGUCUUCUAGCUUUAAUCCGAAUGUCUGAAUCAACGAAGUUUCAUCUAUAAAAGCUAUUUAGUAGUGAAAUAUUUUAUCAUUGAUCUUGGUAAGCAUAACCAGUGCAACUGAUGUACAUUGAAACACUGCAACUGCUAGGAUCUAAGCCAACUCAAUUGGCAUGGCUCAUAUUUUCAAAAAGGUGCAACUGAUUGAAAUAGAUUUUGGCCUGUUAAUCAGUAUUUUGAAUUACAAAAUAGUAGAACAGAAGUUAGAAAAUUAUAGAUUUUGUGCUUACCUAUUUUCGAAUAAAGAAUUAAGAAUGACCAGCUAAAUCUGAAAUGUGAAAAUUAAUAUCCUGGUCUUCUAUCAACCAAUGUGCUGGUGUAAGGGAUAUCGGACAGACUGAUUGUAAGAAAUGUUCUACUUGUAUGGUAUACCUUGCUGUUGCUGUCUACCUAACCUGGAAGGAGGAAAUUUCAGGCAAAUGGAACUCCAGUGCUUUGAGUACUAUCGAAUGUUAAAGUGAUGUUGCCAGAAAGAUUAUUCACUUGGGAGAAUUUUAAAAGACUGGUUGCCAAGCAACCGAGCAUGGGUUCUCUUCUGUACUAGAUUCUAAUCGGAUCAUUGUUAGUCUGUUAAUGUGUUGCAGUUUGCAGCAUGUUGUUUGGUUCCUAGGUUUUAGAGGUAGUCCUCUGUUAUUGAUUCAUUGGGGGUAAUGGAGUUUAAUUCAGUAAAAUUUAUUUAUUUAGAAAAAAAAAUUGAUCCAAAUCGUUGUCCGCUUUUUGUGGAGAAAAAGUAUCUACAACGGUGUCAACUAAAAAUGUCGGAUAAAUCGGACCGGUAAAGACAUUAUGUAAAAUUUGUUAAAUCAAUAUCACAUUUUCUUCGAUGGUAGUGGAUAUAUUUUAAAACGACAUGUUAUUAUUAUUUCAAAUUAUUAUAAAUAGAAUAUAUUAUUUUAAUAUGAUAAUAGAUGAUGUGGAAUGUGCUACAUGUCUAUAGAGGUUGGCCGAGGAGAUGGUUGGAGUGAAUAAAAGUUAAUAUAUUAUUUAUAAUUUUUAAUUAUGAUAUGAUUUAUUGAAUUUUAGCUACGGGUUUUGGAGGGAGCCUGAGAUAGCUGCAAAGAUGCUGUUUCAAUAAUUUUUUUGCCGUGCGAUCGAUUAAAGAAAAUAAAAAAAAAAGUAAAAAUACAUGCAUUUCACAAAAUAGAUCACUAAAAGAUGGCAGAGAAAGUUGCUCUUCCUCAGAUUCAAAAUCUUUGUCCUUUAUAUAUGCUAUUACUUAGCUGGAAAUGUUAUGAAAUUGGCAGUCAUGCUGAUCCUUUUAUUGGUUAAGUACAGUGGGAAGAUCCUAUCAAAAGAACAGUUAAUUUCAUCGUCUAAACAUCUAUAUUCUGGGCCAACAGCUGGAUAAGUUUAUUUAAAACAUACAUUCCAAAGUGCAUUUAGCAAGUUACAUUCCAAUGCACAUAAGUUUCUAAUGUAUAUAUACAUCAUCAAUUAGCAUUAGGCAACAAGAACAACGAAGCAAAAUGAAUAUGAGAGGACUGAUAUUAUUCACAAGGCAGCUGCAUGUCAUCUCAAGAUCAGGAACCAGCAUCAUCAAACCAGCUUCUCCAACUCCUGAAAACUUUAAAGUCUACCAUCUUCCUUUACAUGAUUGUAUGAUGCCAAAUAUCUAUAUUCCGGCAAUAUUUUUUUAUGCAGACAUUAGUAAGGCCGCAGAUCAUAAAUCAACAGUUUCAAAUCUACUCAAGAACUCUUUAUCCGAGACACUGACAAAGUAUUACCCGUAUGCUGGAAGGCUAAGGCCUUCCGGAUCUUCUGUUGACUGUAAUGAUGAGGGAGUUCAUUUUGUUGAGGCACGGAUUGGAUGCAAGCUAGCUCAUGUUCUGGAAAAAGAUCCUGCCAAGGAAGACGAACAAGGUCUAGGCCAUCUCUUUCCACCUCUCGCGAUUUGGGAUAAGUUAUCCAAUGAAAAGUGUUCCAGUCUAGUGCUCGUGCAACUGAAUCAUUUUAUCUGUGGAGGGAUAGCUAUUGCAGUUGGCUUUUCACACCGAAUUGGCGAUGCUCUAACUCUAUUAUCAUUUGUGGCUUAUUGGGCAGGUUUGUCACGCCACUCCUUUGAUCACCAGAAACUACUACAUGUUUGCCCCUAUAUCGUGUCUGAUCAUGAGCAGUCACAUGAUAACGAUUCCAAUACAUUUAACGUUUCGUUCCCUGAAAAGCACUGGAUCACCAAGAAUGUAGUCUUUCACAACUCAAACAUAGCAAGACUGAAGGCAGAUGUUGAAAUCAGACACAAAUUGCAGGGCAAAGACGAACCAAACUACACAAGAAAUGAGCUGGUGACCGCACUCCUCUACAGGUGCGUGGUAGCUGCAGCAGCUACAUCAAAUGGCGGGGCGUACAUCAAGUCUGUUCUGUGCCAGACAGUAAACAUAAGGCCUCUGCUCGAUCCGCCACUGCCACAGACAAGUGUUGGAAGUUUCAUUAAUUAUAAUAACAUUGCAACAGGCACGGAGAAUGAAACAGAGUUACAUAAUUUAGUGGAACGAAUAAGAGAAGGAAAGUUGCAGCUUAGACGAAACAAAGGCAUGGAUGAAAUUAUAGCGGCAAGACCAUUUGAGGAGUUUGAAAAAAUGAAUAGAAUAUAUCUGGUGAGCAGCAUCUGUAGUUUUCCAUUGUACGAAAUAGAUUUCGGAUGGGGAAGGCCAGUUAAAGCGACAAUUGUGGACAUGCCGGUGGUUAAUAGCAUUAUUUUGAUGGAUACUCCGAGUGGGGAUGGUAUUGAAGCUAUUGUAGGUUUGGAAGAGAAAGAGAUGGAAAAUUUUCAAGCUCACAGAGACCUGCUUUCCUACAUUUCUUUCUAAAAAUUUCUUCUUCCUCUUCUGCUUAUCAACUGAAAUUGAUAGUGUGUGUUAUUUGUUUGAGUAAUGUUUUAUGUUGAUAAAUGUUUAAUGUUGAUAUUAAGCGCUAAAAUUUAUUGAUUGGCUCUUCUUUUUUAAUAAUGAUGGACCCCUUGCAUAUAUAUAACAGUCAGCCAAAUAUAUAAAAUUUAUUGCUUAGUAUCAUGUCCACACACUCGACAAACACAAUAUUUAAUCCUCCUUUUGUUUUUUUAUUAGUUAAUGCUUUGAUUUUGGUCAAAUACUUUUAGGUGCUUUGAACGGUAGUUAAAAGUAUUAUUUUUGAGUUAUUUUUUUGUGGAUUAAAAUUUUGAUUACAUAUUUUUUUUCAUAAAAAAAAAAUUCAAAAAAUAAUAUUUUUAACCAUACGGUGAAAGACUUAAAAAUGUAUGACCAAAAUCAAAGCGUAAAAUAAUAAAAAAAACAGAUGGAGUAUUAAGAAUGGGCAUACGAGUUUGCACCCCAACAACAAAUGUUACCUGACCAUACUUGUUAAAUUAGCUAUGUACUGAUAUGUCCAACCAUGUUCUGAGACUGAUCGAACCAUAUUCACCUUUUUUGUUUCUGUUGCAGGUUUGGAACUGAGAUGUGUUAAUGCCAUACUCGGUCACCCUGUUAUUUAUCACAAUAAUUUUAAAUUCACCGCCGACUCGGACAUCUUUCACACUAUCGUGAUAAUAACCAAUUUCCGUGUUUAAAAUUUUUAAAUAAUUCAUAGCUAAAAUAACUAAUUUUAGAACUAAACAUGUUUUUGGCAUAUAUAUUUUAUCUACUCAAGUAUUUUUUGUACUUUGAAUUUAGGAAAUAAUGGAUCCUUUAUUAAAAAUAAAAUCAUCAAUAUACUUAAAAUAAUUUUCUGUAAUUUAAACUAUGUAUUGAAUCUACAGAAAAAAGACCCGAUUUUAAAAAAUAGGAACCAUAAUUAUCCAAAAAGUUUUUGGAUCUAAAAUUUUGAAUGUUUAGAAAUUUAUUUUUCAAGAAAAAUCCUAAUGUUCAAUUAUUCUUUUAGAUAAGUCAUGGUGUAACUAGUUGCCAAAAUUUCCCACCACAGAGGUUUAUCCUCAAUAGCUUUGAAAAUUAUAAAUAUUGGGCUUAAAUUUAUUUGUGAUUUUCUAUUUAAUAUAUUUAGUUUGGUGAUUAUUUUGAUUAUUAUUAUUUUAGAAGUAGCAAAAUUUAUCCUUUAUCUUAUUUUAAUUAUUAUUUUAGGCUAGUAUUAACGAUUUCUUCCUAUCUCAAAUUUUUUUGGAUAGUUUUCAAUUUCCAUCCCUUCUUUUCAAAGAUAGAAUUACUGACAUCGUCUUAUCUUAAUUAAUUUAGGAAAGCUGGAUUACUUGACCUGGCCAAAUAGCCUAUAUAUAAUAAACCUUGUUAAUUUGUUAUGUAUCCCAAGUAUCCUCAUUGUGUUAUUACAGCCAAAAAAAUAAUAAUACAAGUAUGAAUACUUCUCUUUUAUCAACUUUUCUUUUCAUCCACUUCCUUGCAUUUGUUCCUGCUAGUAUAAUUUCAAUCAACCAAGAGAGCACCCCAUUUAUGAUCAUGGAGCGCAAUCUUGCCAUUUCAGCAGCACUGAAUGAGGCCGUGCAAGUCCACCAUAUGUUAUCUAGCAUGGACUCAAGCUCUUUGGAAGUUCGAACCCAGUCGGCUUGGGCUGAUUGUUUGGAGCUCUACGAGGAAAGCAUUCAGAAGCUAAAUCGUUCCAUGUUUUUAACUAACACCAUGCAGAAUAAUAUCCAUGUCCAGACUUUGUUAAGUUCAGCACUCACCGACCAGGAAACAUGCAAAGAUGGUUUCAUAGAUUUCAGCUUAGCUGCUACAUAUUCCAAGUUGUUUCCCUUGAAUGAAUCCUCGGAAAACCUUUGCAAAAUUCUUGGCAUGAAUAAAGCUGUAAUGGCUUCCCAAACCUCAGGUUUAGCUAGUGAAGAAAAAUCAGAAGGGUGGCUCUUACGGAAUCGUGGUCUGCCGGAGUGGCUUUCGGAGAGUGAUCGCAGGAUUCUUCAGGAAGCACCACCCCCACCUGAUCUAGUAGUAGCACAGGACGGGUCGGGUAAUUACAGGACCAUUGGUGACGCUGUGGCGACCGCAGCAGCAGCACAGAAAGGGGGUAAGAGAUUUGUUAUAUACGUGAAAAGAGGAGUGUACAAAGAGUACCCGGUGAUCCAGGUUGAGAACUUGACGCUUCUGGGAGAUGGAAUUGAGGCUACCAUUGUUACUGGAAAUAGAAGUGUUGCAGAUGGUGCAACAACCUCUAAUUCAGCAACUUUUGGUGAGUUAUGUGCAUGUAAUAUCUAAUUAAUAUUACCCCUCUGUUCCUCUCGUUCUUUUACGAUUUUUUAUAUUGUUUGACAUGUAUUUUAAAAAUUUAUAUAAAACAUAGUUUUGUCACUUAUUUUUUAGAUUAAUCUUUUCGUAAAAAAAUUUAAAUAUUAAAUCUUUAUUCAGAAGAAAAAAGAAGAUCAAAAUCAUUUAUCAAACUAUAUUUUAUGGAAGCAUUAAAUAUGCAUGUAAUUAUAUAUAUAUAUAUAUAUNAGUGAUCCAUAUGAAUCUUGGCGAGUAAUUUAUAAUGGAACCCGUAAGAUAGAGUACUCGUUUGUGUCAGAACUGUAUGCUUGAACUAAUUUUCGAUGUCAAUGCAUGGGUUGAGGACUGAUCAUUGAAGUUUAGUUUUAAGCAUUGCCGCAACAGCCUUGAAAAAAACCAGGGCUUUAACCUUGGCUGAACGCCUGAACCCCCUAUCCUUCGUGGAGUAGUCGAAGAGAAAAUAAUAUGAACCAUUGUCGAAUCUGUCUUCUAGCUUUAAUCCGAAUGUCUGAAUCAACGAAGUUUCAUCUAUAAAAGCUAUUUAGUAGUGAAAUAUUUUAUCAUUGAUCUUGGUAAGCAUAACCAGUGCAACUGAUGUACAUUGAAACACUGCAACUGCUAGGAUCUAAGCCAACUCAAUUGGCAUGGCUCAUAUUUUCAAAAAGGUGCAACUGAUUGAAAUAGAUUUUGGCCUGUUAAUCAGUAUUUUGAAUUACAAAAUAGUAGAACAGAAGUUAGAAAAUUAUAGAUUUUGUGCUUACCUAUUUUCGAAUAAAGAAUUAAGAAUGACCAGCUAAAUCUGAAAUGUGAAAAUUAAUAUCCUGGUCUUCUAUCAACCAAUGUGCUGGUGUAAGGGAUAUCGGACAGACUGAUUGUAAGAAAUGUUCUACUUGUAUGGUAUACCUUGCUGUUGCUGUCUACCUAACCUGGAAGGAGGAAAUUUCAGGCAAAUGGAACUCCAGUGCUUUGAGUACUAUCGAAUGUUAAAGUGAUGUUGCCAGAAAGAUUAUUCACUUGGGAGAAUUUUAAAAGACUGGUUGCCAAGCAACCGAGCAUGGGUUCUCUUCUGUACUAGAUUCUAAUCGGAUCAUUGUUAGUCUGUUAAUGUGUUGCAGUUUGCAGCAUGUUGUUUGGUUCCUAGGUUUUAGAGGUAGUCCUCUGUUAUUGAUUCAUUGGGGGUAAUGGAGUUUAAUUCAGUAAAAUUUAUUUAUUUAGAAAAAAAAAUUGAUCCAAAUCGUUGUCCGCUUUUUGUGGAGAAAAAGUAUCUACAACGGUGUCAACUAAAAAUGUCGGAUAAAUCGGACCGGUAAAGACAUUAUGUAAAAUUUGUUAAAUCAAUAUCACAUUUUCUUCGAUGGUAGUGGAUAUAUUUUAAA